Molecule: ribosomal RNA, 253 nt
Filed under: uncultured prokaryote
Description: partial 16S ribosomal RNA
Rfam family: Bacterial small subunit ribosomal RNA
Source: RNAcentral
UACGGAGGGUGCAAGCGUUAUCCGGAUUUACUUGGUUUAAAGGGUGUGUAGGCGGACUAUUAAGUCAGCGGUGAAAUCUCCGGGCUCAACCCGGAAACUGCCAUUGAUACUAUUAGUCUUGAAUGUUGUGGAGGUGGGCGGAACGGGUCAUGUAGCGGUGAAAUGCAUAGAUAUGACCCGGAACACCGAUUGCGAAGGCAGCCCGCUACGCAACGAUUGACGCUGAGGCACGAAAGCGUGGGGAGCAAACGGG